GUGUCAGCCGCCGCGGUAACACGGGGGGAGCAAGCGUUGUUCGGAAUCACUGGGCGUAAAGGGCGUCUAGGCGGUCAGAUAAGUGGGAUGUGAAAUGCCCCGGCUCACCCGGGGACCGGCAUCCCAAACUGUCUGGCUUGAGUAUGGGAGAGGAUGUGGGAAUUCCUGGUGUAGCGGUGAAAUGCGUAGAUAUCAGGAGGAACACCGGUGGCGAAGGCGCACAUCUGGCCCAAUACUGACGCUAAAGCGCGAAAGCUAGGGGAGCAAACGGGAUUAGAAACCCCCGUAGUCC
This 292-nucleotide ribosomal RNA is filed under the name uncultured bacterium. RNAcentral describes it as "partial 16S ribosomal RNA". It matches the Rfam family "Bacterial small subunit ribosomal RNA", at positions 505 to 796 of the family's 1533-position model. The record is from RNAcentral.